UCUAUCUGGUGUUGCUGAGUUUGACAGAU
Molecule: non-coding RNA, 29 nt
Filed under: Mus musculus (house mouse)
Lineage: Eukaryota; Metazoa; Chordata; Mammalia; Rodentia; Muridae
Source: RNAcentral